GUGCAUGUGAUGAAGCAAAUCAGUAUGAAUAAAAUCAUGAUACUGUAAACGCUUUCUGAUGUG
Small nucleolar RNA from Carlito syrichta (Philippine tarsier), 63 nucleotides. The record is from Ensembl. NCBI's taxonomy places the organism in Eukaryota, Metazoa, Chordata, Mammalia, Primates, Tarsiidae.